This 426-nucleotide ribosomal RNA is filed under the name uncultured bacterium. Its description in RNAcentral is "bacterial SSU rRNA". It matches the Rfam family "Bacterial small subunit ribosomal RNA", at positions 356 to 773 of the family's 1533-position model. The record is from RNAcentral.
GGGGAAUUUUGCGCAAUGGGCGAAAGCCUGACGCAGCAACGCCGCGUGGAGGAUGAAGGUGCUCUGCAUUGUAAACUCCUGUCGGCCGGGAAGAAUCGGCGGGGUGCUAAUCAGCCCCGUCUUGACUGUACCGGCAAAGGAAGCCCCGGCUAACUCCGUGCCAGCAGCCGCGGUAAUACGGAGGGGGCAAGCGUUACUCGGAAUUAUUGAGCGUAAAGGGCGCGUAGGCGGUCUCGUGCGUCAGGGGUGAAAUCCCCGGGCUUAACCCGGGACGUGCCUCUGAUACGGCGAGACUUGAGUCCGGGAGAGGAGAGCAGAAUUCCCAGUGUAGCGGUGAAAUGCGUAGAUAUUGGGAGGAAUACCAGUGGCGAAGGCGGCUCCCUGGACCGGUACUGACGCUGAGGCGCGAAAGCGUGGGUAGCAAAC